GCAACGAGCGCAACCCCUGCAUUCAGUUGCCAUCGGUAAGGCCGGGCACUCUGGAUGGACUGCCGGCGACAAGCCGGAGGAAGUGGGGACGACGUCAAGUCAUCAUGGCCCUUAUGUCCAGGGCGACACACGUGCUACAAUGGCCGGCACAACGGGAAAGCGAAGGGGCGACCCUGAGCGGAUCCCACAAAAGCCGGUCUCAGUUCGGAUUGAAGUCUGCAACUCGACUUCAUGAAGCUGGAAUCGCUAGUAAUCGCAGAUCAGCCAAGCUGCGGUGAAUACGUUCCCGGGCCUU
This 295-nucleotide ribosomal RNA is filed under the name uncultured Thermovirga sp. RNAcentral's name for it is "partial 16S ribosomal RNA". It matches the Rfam family "Bacterial small subunit ribosomal RNA", at positions 1089 to 1382 of the family's 1533-position model. Lineage: Bacteria; Thermotogati; Synergistota; Synergistia; Synergistales; Thermovirgaceae. The record is from RNAcentral.